CCCUGGAACGGGACGCCGCAGAGGGUGAGAGCCCCGUACGGUCGGACGCCGAGCCUCUGUAAAGCUCCUUCGACGAGUCGAGUAGUUUGGGAAUGCUGCUCAAAAUGGGAGGUAAACCCCUUCUAAAGCUAAAUACCGGCCAGAGACCGAUAGCGCACAAGUAGAGUGAUCGAAAGAUGAAAAGCACUUUGAAAAGAGAGUUAAAAAGCACGUGAAAUUGUUAAAAGGGAAGCGCUUGCGACCAGACUUGCGCCCGUCGGAUCAACCGUCGCUUGCGGCGGCGCACUCCGGCGGGCUCAGGCCAGCAUCAGUUCGCCUGGGGGGAGAAAGGCGGCGGGAAUGUGGCUCUUCGGAGUGUUAUAGCCCGCCGUGUAAUACCCUCGGGUGGACUGAGGACCGCGCGUAUGCAAGGAUGCUGGCGUAAUGGUCGUCAGCGACCCGUCUUG
This 446-nucleotide ribosomal RNA is filed under the name Scopulariopsis candida. Its description in RNAcentral is "LSU rRNA". It matches the Rfam family "Eukaryotic large subunit ribosomal RNA", at positions 188 to 656 of the family's 3401-position model. The record is from RNAcentral. Lineage: Eukaryota; Fungi; Ascomycota; Sordariomycetes; Microascales; Microascaceae.